GGAUGUGAGGGCGAUCUGGCUGCGACAUCUGUCACCCCAUUGAUCGCCAGGGUUGAUUCGGCUGAUCUGGCUGGCUAGGCGGGGGUCCCCUUCCUCCCUCACUGCUCCAUGUGCAUCCCUCCUGAAGCUGCACGCUGGUCGAUGAGGACGACCAUCCCCGAUACAGGAGGACCGUUCUUCGGUCAAGGGUAUAGGAGUAGCUGCGCUCCCCUGCUAGAACCUCCAAACAAGCUCUCAAGGUCCAUUUGUAGGCGAACGUAGGGUAGUCAAGCUUCCAAGACUCCAGACACAUCCAAAUGAGGCGCUGCACGUGGCAGUCUGCCUUAA
RNAcentral lists this small nuclear RNA (327 nucleotides) under Vulpes vulpes (red fox). RNAcentral's name for it is "7SK RNA (ENSVVUG00000014902.1)". It matches the Rfam family "7SK RNA". Rfam says of the family: 7SK was discovered as an abundant small nuclear RNA in the mid-70s but a possible function has only recently been suggested. Two independent studies have found that 7SK RNA binds the CDK9/cyclin T complex (known as elongation factor P-TEFb). The record is from RNAcentral. Lineage: Eukaryota; Metazoa; Chordata; Mammalia; Carnivora; Canidae.